GAUGAAGAAAGUAGCGAAAUGCGAUACGUGGUGUGAAUUGCAGAAUUCAGUGAAUCAUCGAAUCUUUGAACGCACAUUGCACCUCUCGGUAUUCCGGGAGGUAUGCCUGUUCGAGCGUCAUUUGUACCCUCAAGCUCUGCUUGGUGUUGGGUGUUUGUUCCGCCUCUGUGUGUGAACUCGCCUCAAAACAAUUGGCAGCCGGCGUACUUGUUUCGGAGCGCAGCACAUUUUGCGAUCCAGAUCAACGUACAGCGGCAUCCAAGAAGCCUUAUUUAACGCUCUUGACCUCGGAUCAGGUAGGGAUACCCGCUGAACUUAAGCAUAUCAAUAAGCGGAGGA
RNAcentral lists this unclassified non-coding RNA (339 nucleotides) under soil metagenome. Its description in RNAcentral is "partial contains 5.8S ribosomal RNA, internal transcribed spacer 2, and large subunit ribosomal RNA". The stretch from base 1 to 120 matches the Rfam family "5.8S ribosomal RNA", at positions 35 to 154 of the family's 154-position model. The record is from RNAcentral.